CAGAGUUCUCGCCCGCCCGGGUAGAUCUCCCACCCACUGUGAUUGCUACCGUGUUUCUUUGGCGGGCCGCCGGGCCCUGCCCGGCCGCCAGGCGACCCCGCCGGCGCGCGCCCGCCAGAGGCUCCCCAAACCCUGAAUGUCAGUGUCGUCCGAGUAACACACAAUAGUUA
Molecule: unclassified non-coding RNA, 170 nt
Filed under: uncultured fungus
Lineage: Eukaryota; Fungi
Description: sequence contains ITS1, 5.8S rRNA gene
Source: RNAcentral